Molecule: ribosomal RNA, 3445 nt
Filed under: Triticum aestivum (bread wheat)
Lineage: Eukaryota; Viridiplantae; Streptophyta; Magnoliopsida; Poales; Poaceae
Description: partial small subunit ribosomal RNA
Source: RNAcentral
UGUUUUAUCUUUUCUUUAGUAUCCCUUUAGCUUUCAUCUUAGACUCUGACCGUCUCCAUUUCGAGGUCGGAGGUUGGGUCGGGAGAGCGUGUCUGUCGGGAUAAAAUGAAGUGGUGCCGGCGCCGGAAACACACCGGAGGCAGGGGACAAUAGGGAAGAAGAAGGGGCAGAGCGGAGGAGGGAGGAGGAGGAGGGGUGGCCGUUUGGGGGAGAGCUAGAGGUGGCGAGCGGCUCAAAGCGGGUUAAGCGCGGGACGGCCUCGGGCCCAGGUGCUUCUCCCGGGGGAAAGCGGCCGGCGCCGCGGCGGCUACUCUGACCGGCGGCGGCGCGGUACGUUGGGGGCUGCCGGCGAGACAGACGCAGCAGCGACCUCACGCGCUCGAGCACGUCCCGGAACACCUUCCCCCCGCCUCCUCGACCCUCCGGGAUGCUUACGUCGCACGAGAGGACGCGGACCUUGCGAGGUGCGCGCGAGUGGCCGCGCGAACGGUCGUGGUGCGUCACGAGGAGGACAUCGGUGCGACUUCGGCAUCCGCCGCCCUCCGCCGCUCCAGCGGGUGCCGUCUCAUUGUUGUUGUGCAAUGACGUGUAGUGGACCCGUCUUCUGUAGUUGUUUCCUUACAACCCGGUACCAAGUAGUCGAUCAAAACAAAGGAGCCUUUUUUUUUGUCUAUAACCAGUUGAGGACACUUUAGUUACACCUCCCAAAGGACGAUAAGCAGUCCUGGCAAACUGGAACAAAGAGGUCUUUGCAACACCCUCUCAGAGUCUGGUCGAUAGAGCAUGGAAGUUGGACUUCUCAACUUGAAGCAUGUACUGCGAAAUCUCAAUCGUAUACUUCGUGUAUUACCCGUCUUUGCGGCCUCACCCCUUGGAAAGUAGUAAGUAGGACAACUUCAACGAGCAUAAGAACCCCUCGUGCUUGAACUGACCCUUAGUUAGCGACGACCAAAUAACGUACUGUGACAACUUCUAUGACUGUACCAAUGAAAACUUUGUUAGGUUUUACUCAAACCCCGUUGUCAUUCAGCAUAACAACUUCCCCUUUGUUUCCACAGAUUCGAUCCCUUUGAAGUUACGUUUUUACUCCCAUCAAGUUUUGUUCUACAGUUUCGACUUCUGAAUUCUGUCUACAAAGAACGUUACUGUCUUCUCCAAGCACAUUAGUAACACUUUGACCGUCUGUCCAACGUAUUGUACGCAUGAGAAUGUGUAUACGGAGUCGUGUUCGUCAUACGAUAGCGGUACCUCUGCGACGUCCAAAAACGUGGGGAUCGUUUUGAAGAGCCCUACAUAGUUUAUUUCAGACUCAAUCUCAUAGACAGGAAGUACAUGUACUUAGGACCACUAAAGCGACUUGAUUCCUUUUCUCAACUACUAUAGAAGUUUCGGGUACUUGUUCUUAACCUUCUCCGUUUAUUUUAGGAUUUCGUUUUUUAACGACUCCUAGUUAAAGAACUAGAACACUCACAACUUUGUCUUCACGCGAGUCACACAUUUCUUGAAAUGUCGUAAAUAUUUUGGCGAGAGUUUAGGUUCUCAAGUAAUUUACUCCAUUUAGUCCAACGAGUCGACGCCUAGUAGUAUUUUGGUUUUAGGACGUUACCACAACCCGGUGACAAAUGGCGUGUUGUCUAGACGAUGGUACAGGAACCAGAACAAGUACCGUAUACCUGUGGAUAUGGAGUUCGACAAUUUCUAAUAUAACGUUGAGGUUUCGGAUUACCGAUAGUUUCAGAUGUAUGAUGUCACUAUGGCAAAGAAUUACUCUCAUACAAGGUAAACCUUCAAGUCUAUUCUUGUCUCCUAUACCUAGACUAUCGUCUUUCUCCGUAACGACGUGUGAUGUCACCUUCUCCCCACCAAAGUCCUGGACAAACAGGACCUUAUAGAUCACCUUCUUUAAAUCUACCCUUUCACUAGACAGAAUUGUUAUGUCCGAAACGAGACUCCUAACCAACCGACUUACGUUAGGCACUUACCGUUCUUCUCAAACAACCAUUGUACUCGAGAUCCCUUAAACACCUAUGAUAAUGGUCUCUAGAAGACCCUUCGGCACAGAAGCACAAAUGUGGAUUUCCGCUCUAAUUUUUGGACGGAUUUCCCCGGUGACACUAACUAAUACGUAUAGACUAGGUAUGUCUUUAGCCGUUAUUUUACCAUCGUCGUUUCCACUUACCAUUAGAUCAAAGUGGUUAGGUACGUGAACGCUUGCGACUUCAUCACCUCUAUUAUUGAAUGCUANNNNNNAGGUCAUUUAUACGUAAGGUCGCAGUAGUCGUCACCGACGUUGUACGGUUUUGGGCGUCACGAUCCGUGUUUUAAUACUUUAAGAAUUCCCUCGUUCGACGAGAAAGACGACGACUUUAUUGCCGCCUACGUCAAUUAUUGAAACAGCGACUAGAACUUCUACUUUCACUGUCACUCGUCAAUUAAGGUUGGUGUGUUUUGCUACUGGUAUUUAAGUUAACCGUCUUCUAUAAUUCAAGGUUGUUCAAUAGGAAACACUUAUUUUUAUCGCUACCGAAAAAUGGUCAAUUGUUGCAAGUGUGCGGUUUCUAAUUGCCCUUCGUGUUGUUUUGACAGUUCCUUGAUCCGUAGUUUUAAUUACCAAGUUGUCAAGCUCCACUAUCGAGGUGACUGAAGUACGCGGGACCGCAGGGUCGGAUAUUCCUUCAAAAACGAUCAAACCUAUUAACCUUUACGCCAUUUUAAAGGAGAACCGUGUUAUGUCUUCCGUUGAGAUAGGUUACCGAAACGUAUCACACACAACUAGCUUUUCCCUACUACCGACUUCAGUGAAGCCGAAACUGUCGAACGCCUUAGUGGUAUACAAGGACACACCGUCUCUCUCUAUUGUCUUCUCCUUACCCACACGACGAAAAGGUAAAACUCCCUUGACUACUCUUACACCACUCGCGUACGAGGUCACAACUCUACUAAGAACCGCAAGAACCAACCAGACGACCCACAUCAAUACUAGGCGAACCGCAAGAACCGACUACAGUUAAUUAAGAACUCACGAUCACAUCAGCACUACGUGUCAACUGGAAGUAGAGGUGACUUCGACUCUGUUAAAACCUUUCGUGGUUACCUACUUUACAAAACCCUCGUCAGUCCAGAACCAAGGGAAAUGAAACAGUUUCGUCCGUCUACUUUGAUCUUGGUCUACAAUGGUGCGAAGUAAACCUUCGCUCUCUCACAUGUAUCGACUCGCUCAUCAUAUGAAAAUCACGUCCCUAACCGACCCAAAUAUGUCUUUUUCCGGAGGCACUUACUGGUUUACUUCCGACCAAAGAAGAGAGAAAAAAUGGGAAGACUCGCAACGUAUAUGAUCAACACAUUAACUUACACGUCGAUCUCAAAACUGGACCUUAGAGUCACAGGGUUUUAAAACUGGGAUAAACCUAUGAGCCACAGUACUUGGAGGAAAGAAUGGGAUACC